Molecule: ribosomal RNA, 253 nt
Filed under: uncultured bacterium
Lineage: Bacteria
Description: partial 16S ribosomal RNA
Rfam family: Bacterial small subunit ribosomal RNA
Source: RNAcentral
UACGUAGGGUCCGAGCGUUGUCCGGAAUUAUUGGGCGUAAAGGGCUCGUAGGCGGCUUGUCACGUCGGGUGUGAAGGCCCGGGGCUUAACCCCGGGUCUGCAUUCGAUACGGGCAGGCUAGAGUGUGGUAGGGGAGAUCGGAAUUCCUGGUGUAGCGGUGAAAUGCGCAGAUAUCAGGAGGAACACCGGUGGCGAAGGCGGAUCUCUGGGCCAUUACUGACGCUGAGGAGCGAAAGCGUGGGGAGCGAACAGG